UCCCUUUUGGCGCCUGGGUGGAAGCAAAUUUUCCACAACGGGCCCCAGUGGACUCCUCUUGAAGUUGGUGGACUUGUCAGUUACAGUAGGUUUUGGAAAAUAAGAGUAGACAGAGCUGGUGAGUCCAGUGGUUUGGAAGCUGCAGUACCCGCCCCCUGUUUUGGGUGCUGCUCCCUUUCAGCGUUGAGCGGUGGACACGGCACACUCCAGCCACAUGAUCCUUGUCUCACUCUGUCGUUCUCUGGCUCUCUCUCUCUCUCUUCCUUUCACACACACACAGGCAGACGAGUUACGGCCAUUGCCCUCUAGUAACCCCGGCCAACAAGUCCUUUAUUAUCAUGCCAGUAGCUUUUUCCUUUUUUUCUGCUUACUCCUCCUAGUAAGUAUGUGUGUGUGUAUGUGUGUGUGUGUGUGUGUGUGGUGCUGUCCAGGUCUGAGUGCCUUGUAGUUACCCUCUUUACAACCAGCAAAGAAUGAAGCAAGUUUGUGGAGAGAAGGACUAAUACAAACAAAGAUGCAGCGAAGAAGGAAGAAAACAAGGCUGGAAAAAAGAGAAACCAGUGUUCUGAGUCUGUUUAAGUAUGCGUUGAGUCCGUCUUGCUGUCUGACCUAGUGAUUGAGUUACAGAGAACAGAUGUGAGCAUAACCUCUAGUUACCUUCGCCUGCAAAACAACACCAUCAAUCUUGACAGGGUCUACACUGGGUUGCAGGCCAGUGCUUACAUCGCAGGGUGAAGUGGCUGGACAAAGAAUCUGUAUCAAACGGAGCCCUGAGCUGUGCUGCUGGAAAGACUUGACCCCAGGGCUGCAGCAGUGCUGGCUGCCUCUGUGGGAGCGCUGAACGGAUCCGUGCUGUGGAACAAAGAGAGCUGGACCACUGAGCCGGACCACUGUGUGCCCAGAUAAGCCUGCCCAGCCUCACACCAACAACUGACCUACUUAGGGGACCUCUGUUCUCAUUGUUGUUGCACCCAGGGGACACGCAGAUGGUCAGAUUGACCACACACUCACAGAGAUGAUGAAGGCGUGCUGUUUACCGAGUCGUCAUAGCAACACCAAUGUGGCGACGCCUGGCUGGGUCGGAAAUGUCUGUCAUCCCGACUGAGUCUCGGCCGUGCAGUUACCAUGGCAGCCCGUCAAACCAUUCAUGUGCACCUCCACUUGAAGUGUUCACAACUAGACGGAGAAAGGGAGAGCCGGAGGAGGGUGCGUGUUUGUGUUGUGUGUCCGGGGCUGUGGGGUUGCUGCUGCUGCAUGAAGCAUUAACACACACAAUUAGUUAUCUACAAAGGCCUGGACUUUAAGUGCACUUUGCUGUGAACAUGUUUGGAGUGACAGGAGCGUGUGACAGUGGGGCCCUGACGGCUGAUAUCUCCAUUUUACCCACAGCAAGAAGAUAUCUGAAAGAUGAGAACACAACAUUUUCUAUGUUGAUGGUUGUGUAUGAGGAGAGUUUGAAAACCACUGUGCCGUGUGUCAUUACCCUUCCUAAAAACUAUUUAAAUCCAGCCCUGAGAGCAUAACUUUAGUAUUUAGUCCCAGGCUUAAUUAAAAUGCUUAAUUACCCUCACUCUGUGGCAACCUAACAUAGACAGGCCUGAGACAAUUUUUGAGUUCUCAUUGAAGCUAUGACCUACUGUACCUCUGGGUACGGGAACCUGUUUUAAAAGCAGCUAUAAUUAAACACUGAUUUAAAUUCAAGAGCACAACUCAGCGCGGUGAGGUAAUUUAAGGACUCGGUGGAGAUGUCAGAGAGUGGCGGGAGGGGACAGGAAACUGGCAACCGGAUUAAGCCCCUGUGGGACACUUUGUCCCAGUGGAAUGGGACACAGCCACUGCCAUCUGCAGGGGAUAUGCAGGCGGAAGGAAGCAGAGCGGUGAGCAGAGAGAGGAUAGACAGAAAGAGAUUGUGCAUAUGAGGGAGGAGAAACCAGGUGAAGUGAGGAAGUGUAAGGGUGAAAUAUUGUAACAUUUGUCACAUUGAAUAAAGGUGCUACAGUGCUUGGAGGAAAGCCCCAAAUGAAAGAUGAAAGUUGAAUUCUUGCACUGUCAGCACUGUGUUUAUUAGAGAUACAGAACGUUUUGGUUUUUAAAAAAUGGACCUUACUGUAACUGAAUUUCAAGCUUCCUGUGUUCGCCACUGUCUGAAAAUGUAAUUAUUCAUAUACCGUUUUAUAUCAAAAAUGCCACUAAUCACUUUAGGCAUCACAUCACUAUUCACUUCACAAAUACAUCCCACACAGGAGGCUUUGAUGCUCACAGAGUUCUAUCUAUCUACCUCAGCGGGACGAAUAUGCAUCACCUCCACAUCAAUUCAUUGUGGACUUUACUUCUAAGAAGUUAUUACUAUUUCAAGGAGCGUCCCAGUAGCCGAAUGAUUACGGUGCAUGCCAAAUGACUGCAACAUCCAUGGUCUGAUCCCAGCCUGGGACUCGUGUUGCAUGUCAUAUCCACUGUCAUGCUGACUAAAUAAAUAAACGUUUUCUCACACACGA
Molecule: long non-coding RNA, 2495 nt
Organism: Seriola aureovittata
Lineage: Eukaryota; Metazoa; Chordata; Actinopteri; Carangiformes; Carangidae
Exons: 3
Source: RefSeq, a predicted model, not a curated record